This 406-nucleotide ribosomal RNA is filed under the name uncultured bacterium. Its description in RNAcentral is "partial 16S ribosomal RNA". It matches the Rfam family "Bacterial small subunit ribosomal RNA", at positions 29 to 526 of the family's 1533-position model. The record is from RNAcentral.
AUUGAACGCUGGCGGCAGGCCUAACACAUGCAAGUCGAACGAGGGGCGGACGGGUGUGUAAUGGCUGGGAAACUGCCUGAUGGAGGGGGAUAACCACUGGAAACGGUAGCUAAUACCGCAAUCCUUCAGAUGUGCCCAGAGGGGAUUAGCUUGUUGGGGGUGUAACGGCUAACCAAGGCGACUACCUCUAGCUGGUCUGAGAGGAUGACCAGACACCCAGGGAAUGCGACAAGGUCAAGACUCCUACGGGAGGCAGCAGUGGGGAAUAUUGCACAAGUGGCGCACGCCUGAGGCAGCCAUGCCGCGUGUAUGAAGAAGGCCUUCGGGUUGUAAAGGAGUUUCAGCGGGGAGGCGUUACCCACAGAAGAAGCACCGGCUAACUCCGUGCCAGCAGCCGCGGUAAUAC